GGUUGAGUAUGUGCGGAUCGGGCU
This 24-nucleotide non-coding RNA is filed under the name Arabidopsis thaliana (thale cress). Lineage: Eukaryota; Viridiplantae; Streptophyta; Magnoliopsida; Brassicales; Brassicaceae. The record is from RNAcentral.